UCACAUGUGUUAGGUUUGAUACAUUACAACCAUACCAUAGAAUAAUAAGAGAUGAAGUUUUAGGAAAUACUCACUCAACUCAUUUCAUAUAACUUAAAAAAUACUAAAACCGAAAGCUCAUACUAUCCAAAUCCAUACUACUAGACCAAUCAGAUUGAUUUACACUUAACUCAUUUUUAAAUACUUGUAAUUAUAUAUUACUAACCUAUAACUUCUAAACCAAAAAGAGUAUUGAUAUAGUUAAAAAUAAAGCAUAUUCUUUUUAUUUAAUUACAAAGGCACAUGUCUUAUUUUAAUUAAAAAAAUAAAUUGAAAGAAUAUACUACCAGGUUAUCCCUUUCUCUCAUUCGUUAUUCCUCACUUUUGUUUCACGGAAAGGUCUAAAACUUUCCAAUCUCUUCCUUCUUCUAUUUUUUAAGAAAUCACAACAAUAGUCUUUAUAACACCAAUCCAAAUCUAUUAAUUUAUUCUUUCACUCUACAAAGAAUCUACCACACUUUGUAAAUAGCAAGGAAAGAUCUUAAAGAAAAAAAAGGAGACAACAUACUAGUGCGAUGAUGUUUCACUCUGGUGUUCGGCGAUCGGAAGCUAUGAAGCGGUUGCGAGGCGGAUCCGUAGUGGAGCCUGGAGAUGCAUGGAUGGUCCGUGUGUGAAUCCGACAAGGAAUGACGCGAGCAUCUGCGGAGGUGUGUGGGUCGGUGCGAUUAUUUUCUAUCCCCAAUUUGGACAACACAAUAGCAAAAGAUCCAGGUGACCAUCUCCACUGAUAUUCAUGGCGGCGGCGGAGGUGACCCGGCGACAUCUUCAAUGUCUUUUAUUAUCACUUUAAGAACAACAGCAUGUAUCUCACCCAAACAUAUCUUCCAUCUCUGUUCUUCUCUCUGUGUUUUCCGAAGGUGAAGUUAAUACGAUUCAAUAUGUAUGGGGAUCGUUGGAUCUUAUGAGUUAUUUUCUGUCUUUGUUGUUAGUGUCACUGCAAGUGUUCUUCAUGUGGGCUUGUGGUCAAGGGUUGUGUAGUGGAUUUUUAGAAGAAUGAAGUGUGGUGUUAGUAUACGUGUUUUUCACCCCCCUCCCUGAUGCAUUCAGAGUUUUUUUUUAUAAUGGGAUAAUCUUCGAUGUUGAUUUAAUUCUUUGAUUUCUUCCACUCUUAAUUUUUAGAAAUUAUUUGAAUGUUUUGAAUUUUGAUAAAUGGUUGUCUAUACAUUGUUUUGGAAAGAUUUUGAUUUAUUUUGAAUGCUCAUGAAUGGAAUGUUUUGGAAAGAGAUAAACAGUAUAUUUUUAUAUUUAGA
Molecule: long non-coding RNA, 1289 nt
Filed under: Lathyrus oleraceus (garden pea)
Lineage: Eukaryota; Viridiplantae; Streptophyta; Magnoliopsida; Fabales; Fabaceae
Description: Pisum sativum (pea) long non-coding RNA (PSAT_LNC014921)
Source: RNAcentral